This is a long non-coding RNA of Saccostrea echinata, 818 nucleotides long. RefSeq lists it as uncharacterized. The record is from RefSeq and is a predicted model, not a curated record. NCBI's taxonomy places the organism in Eukaryota, Metazoa, Mollusca, Bivalvia, Ostreida, Ostreidae. The transcript is spliced from 4 exons.
AUUUUAAUCAUGCGAAUGGAAAAACUCCUACAUAAACAAAUACAUGGGCGCAGACAUUUUGGACACCCAAAGUUGUGCGGAGAAGAAAAUGCUACCUGGCACGUGAUUGGUCAUUAAGAGAAAAGACUAGUUAUGUAUUUGACAAGUGAAAUAAAGAUGAUAAAAAUCUCAUAUCAAGACUUAGGUUCCUUUGAGAUAUAUAGGAGUUACAGGUAAAAGUUUGAAGGGAGGGAUGCACUUUGGUUAGAGAUUUUCAUUUGGUGCUGAACGCACCUAGUUGUAAACAAAUGGAAUUUGAAAGUAAAAGUGCCGCGGCACGGUAUAUUUUUUCUGGCAUGUUUUGUUUUACAAGAUCUCGAACUUUCACGGCAAGAAAGUCAUUUGCCCAAAAUUCAAUAUAUGUAUCAGUGACAGGGGCUCAACUUUGUAUGGAAGUCUAUGGGAAAACAUUUGGUGGUGUUUGUCCUAUAGAGUAGCAAUGCAUUCUCAAGAAGGAGGAGAUUAAUGAACCCUCCCCUCUUACAAGGAACAACACAUGGACACUCUCAGGAUGAACCCUUUGCAUUCAUUAACAGUUCCAAGAUAUAGGUCUGAUUGACCGGGGUGUAAAAUGUAACAGCCAGUGGUGUACUUCAGCUAGAACUGUCAGUCCCAAUAUUCAUGAGGAAAAACUCCUACAUAAACAAAUACAUGGGCGCAGACAUUUUGGACACCCAAAGUUGUGCGGAGAAGAAAAUGCUACCUGGCACGUGAUUGGUCAUUAAGAGAAAAGACUAGUUAUGUAUUUGACAAGUGAAAUAAAGAUGAUAAAAAUCUCA